UGUACCCCAGAGUGAGGAAUAACUGCCCGAAAGGGUGGCUAAUACCGCAUACGGUCUUCGGAUUAAAGCCUUCGGGCGCUUUGGGAACAGCUUGUGUACGAUUAGAUAGUUGGUGAGGUAAAGGCUCACCAAGUCAACGAUCGUUAACUGGUCUGAGAGGAUGAUCAGUCAGACUGGAACUGAGAUACGGUCCAGACUCCUACGGGAGGCAGCAGUGAGGAAUCUUCCACAAUGGGGGCAACCCUGAUGGAGCAACGCCGCGUGCAGGAUGAAGGCCUUCGGGUCGUAAACUGCUUUUAUAGGUGAAUAAUAUGAAUGUAGCUUAUGAAUAAGCACCGGCUAACUACGUGCCAGCAGCCGCGGUCAUACGUAGGGUGCAAGCAUUAUCCGGAGUGACUGGGCGUAAAGAGUUGCGUAGGUGGUUUGUCAAGUGAAUAGUGAAAUCUGGUGGCUCAACCACACAGACUAUUAUUCAAACUGGCAAACUCGAGAAUGGCAGAGGUAACUGGAAUUUCUAGUGUAGGAGUGAAAUCCGUAGAUAUUAGAAGGAACACCAAUGGCGUAGGCAGGUUACUG
Molecule: ribosomal RNA, 576 nt
Filed under: uncultured bacterium
Lineage: Bacteria
Description: bacterial SSU rRNA
Rfam family: Bacterial small subunit ribosomal RNA
Source: RNAcentral